Molecule: unclassified non-coding RNA, 223 nt
Filed under: fungal sp.
Lineage: Eukaryota; Fungi
Also listed under: 1 other name
Description: partial internal transcribed spacer region
Rfam family: Eukaryotic small subunit ribosomal RNA (bases 1-46)
Source: RNAcentral
AAGUCGUAACAAGGUUUCCGUAAGUGAACCUGCGGAAGGAUCAUUAUUAAUAUUUUGGUUUAUACCAACAAUAUAUGUGCACCGAGGGAGUGUCCGCACUUCCUCACCUAUUAUUACUAUUGUUUUACCAGUCUUGAAAUCUGUCAUCAGGGAGUAGCCGCAAGGUGCUCUCUGCUCUGACUCUAAGGUGUAAAAACUUUUAGCAACGGAUCUCUAGGCUCUC